AGCUUUGUGCAGUGGCAGUAUCAUAGCCAGUGAGGUCUAUCUGAGGCAUGAUUAUUGCUAAUUGAAAACUUUUCCCAAUACCCUGCUGUGACAACUUGCAAUAUAGUCAGCAUUGGCAAUUUUUGACAGUCUUCACGGAGA
Molecule: small nuclear RNA, 141 nt
Organism: Aotus nancymaae (Ma's night monkey)
Lineage: Eukaryota; Metazoa; Chordata; Mammalia; Primates; Aotidae
Gene: U4
Rfam family: U4 spliceosomal RNA
About the family: U4 small nuclear RNA (U4 snRNA) is a component of the major U2-dependent spliceosome. The structure of U4 snRNA from yeast and human has been reported.
Source: Ensembl